Molecule: ribosomal RNA, 917 nt
Filed under: Klebsiella pneumoniae
Lineage: Bacteria; Pseudomonadati; Pseudomonadota; Gammaproteobacteria; Enterobacterales; Enterobacteriaceae
Description: partial 16S ribosomal RNA
Rfam family: Bacterial small subunit ribosomal RNA
Source: RNAcentral
UUUUUCUCCCUUUCCGUUUUCAAAAAAAAAAGCCCCGGGUUACUCCCCCGCCAGCAGCCUGGGUUAUAAGGUUAGUCGGCCAAGUCUUGAUUCGAAUUUAUUGGGAGUAAAGCGACGGCAGUCGUUUUUUUAAGUUGGAAGAGAAAUCCCCGGCUCAGCGGGGGAGGUUCAUUGAAACCGGGCAGACUUGAGUGCAGAAGGGGGGGGGUGGUAUUCCCAUGUGUAGCGGUGAAAUGCGUAGAUAUAUGGAGGAACACCGGUGGGGAAGGCGGCUUUUUGUUCAAAAACUGACGCUGAGGUUCGAAAGCGUGGGGAGCAAACAGGAUUAGAUACCCUGGUAGUCCACGCUGUAAACGAUGAUGAUUAGGAGGUGGUGGCUUUCAGCCGUUAAUUGCGGAAGAAAAGCGAUUAAAUCAUCCGCCUGGGGAGGUCGGCCGCAAGGUUGAAACUUAAAAGAAUUGGCGGGGGGCCGCACCAACGGUGGAGCAUGUGGUUUAAUUUGAAAGAACGGGAAGGACCUUUCCCAGUUCUGGCAUUCAGUGGACCUAUCAGAGAUAUAGAGUUUCCCUUUGGGGGGCAAAGACAGAGUGUGGCACAUGGGUCGUCAGCUCGUGUUGUGAAAUAUGUGGGGUUAAGUCUCCGCACACGAGCGCACACCCUUUUCUUGUUAGUUGCAGCGGUUUAGGUCGGGAACUCAAAGGAGACUGCCGGUGAUAAACCGGAGGAAGGUGGGGAUGACGUCAAGUCAUCAUGCCCCUUACGACCAGGGCUACACACGUGCUACAAUGGCAUAUACAAAGAGAAGCGACCUCGCGAGAGCAAGCGGACCUCAUAAAGUAUGUCGUAGUCCGGAUUGGAGUCUGCAACUCGCCUCCAUGAAGUCGGAAUCGUUAGUAAUCGUGGAUCAGAAUGCCACG